This 209-nucleotide unclassified non-coding RNA is filed under the name Hevea brasiliensis (rubber tree). The record is from RNAcentral. Lineage: Eukaryota; Viridiplantae; Streptophyta; Magnoliopsida; Malpighiales; Euphorbiaceae.
CCAAAGUUAUCACCGCUUAGCCUUAGGUCAAUUAUUCAUUCCAUCAAACCCAAACCAAUCAAUUACAUAGAGAAAUCAUGGUAAAAUAGACUCUAAAACAAUCCAUAAACUAAUGUGUCUCAAAUGAAGAUGGAAAUAAUUUAAAUGGAUGAAUGAUGUGCCAAUCCCAUAGGCAAACCAACUAAUCCAAUCUCCACUAAUGUAGCAAA